RNAcentral lists this transfer RNA (72 nucleotides) under Gastrodia peichatieniana. Its description in RNAcentral is "tRNA-Gln". It matches the Rfam family "tRNA". From Rfam's summary of the family: Transfer RNA (tRNA) molecules are approximately 80 nucleotides in length. Their secondary structure includes four short double-helical elements and three loops (D, anti-codon, and T loops). Lineage: Eukaryota; Viridiplantae; Streptophyta; Magnoliopsida; Asparagales; Orchidaceae. The record is from RNAcentral.
UGGGGCGUGGCCAAGUGGUAUGGCAACGGUUUUAGAUCCCGUUAAUCGGAGGUUCGAAUCCUUUUGCCCCAA